CAGGACGAACGCUGGCGGCGUGCCUAAUACAUGCAAGUCGAACGGUCUUUUCUAUGGAAGCUUGCUUCCACUGAGAAGAUAGUGGCGAACGGGUGAGUAACACGUGGGUAACCUGCCCAUAAGAGGGGGAUAACAUCCGGAAACGGGUGCUAAUACCGCAUAGUUUUCUUGAUCGCAUGAUCGGGAAAGGAAAGACGGCCUUUGUGCUGUCGCUUAUGGAUGGACCCGCGGCGUAUUAGUUAGUUGGUGAGGUAACGGCUCACCAAGACGAUGAUACGUAGCCGACCUGAGAGGGUGAUCGGCCACAUUGGGACUGAGACACGGCCCAAACUCCUACGGGAGGCAGCAGUAGGGAAUCUUCCGCAAUGGACGAAAGUCUGACGGAGCAACGCCGCGUGAGUGAAGAAAGGUUUUCGGAUCGUAAAACUCUGUUGUCAGAGAAGAACAAGUUGGAGAGUAACUGCUCCAGCCUUGACGGUAUCUGACCAGAAAGCCACGGCUAACUACGUGCCAGCCGCAGC
Molecule: ribosomal RNA, 521 nt
Filed under: uncultured bacterium
Lineage: Bacteria
Description: bacterial SSU rRNA
Rfam family: Bacterial small subunit ribosomal RNA
Source: RNAcentral